RNAcentral lists this ribosomal RNA (738 nucleotides) under uncultured Actinomycetes bacterium. RNAcentral's name for it is "bacterial SSU rRNA". It matches the Rfam family "Bacterial small subunit ribosomal RNA", at positions 36 to 784 of the family's 1533-position model. The record is from RNAcentral. Lineage: Bacteria; Bacillati; Actinomycetota; Actinomycetes.
CCGUGCGGGUGCUUACACACUGCAGGUUAAACGGUGAAAGGGGAGCUUGCUCCCCUGGAAUCAGUGGCGAACGGGUGAGUAACACGUGGGCAACCUGCCCCAGACUCUGGGAUAACUCCUCGAAAGAGGUGCUAAUACCGGAUACGAGCCCUGCAGGCAUCUGCGGGGUUGGAAAGUUUUUUCGGUCUGGGAUGGGCCCGCGGCCUAUCAGCUAGUUGGUGAGGUAGUGGCUCACCAAGGCGACGACGGGUAGCCGGCCUGAGAGGGCGACCGGCCACACUGGGACUGAGACACGGCCCAGACUCCUACGGGAGGCAGCAGUGGGGAAUAUUGCGCAAUGGGCGAAAGCCUGACGCAGCAACGCCGCGUGCGGGAUGACGGCCUUCGGGUUGUAAACCGCUUUCAGCAGGGAAGAAGCGAAAGUGACGGUACCUGCAGAAGAAGCACCGGCUAACUACGUGCCAGCAGCCGCGGUAAUACGUAGGGUGCAAGCGUUGUCCGGAUUUAUUGGGCGUAAAGAGCUCGUAGGCGGUUAGUCACGUCGGAUGUGAAAACCCAGUGCUUAACACUGGGCCUGCAUUCGAUACGGGCUGACUAGAGUGUUGUAGGGGAGACUAGAACUCCUGGUGUAGCGGUGAAAUGCGCAGAUAUCAGGAAGAACACCGGUGGCGAAGGCGGGUCUCUGGGCAACUACUGACGCUGAGGAGCGAAAGCGUGGGGAGCAAACAGGAUUAGAUA